RNAcentral lists this ribosomal RNA (228 nucleotides) under uncultured bacterium. RNAcentral's name for it is "partial 16S ribosomal RNA". It matches the Rfam family "Bacterial small subunit ribosomal RNA", at positions 568 to 795 of the family's 1533-position model. The record is from RNAcentral.
UGCGUAGGCGGACUAAUAAGUCAGUGGUGAAAUCUCUCGGCUCAACCGGGAAACUGCCAUUGAUACUGUUAGUCUUGAGUUCGGUUGAGGUAGGCGGAAUGUGUAAUGUAGCGGUGAAAUGCUUAGAUAUUACAUAGAACACCAAUUGCGUAGGCAGCUUACUAGACCGACACUGACGCUGAGGCACGAAAGCGUGGGUAGCGAACAGGAUUAGAUACCCUGGUAGUC